RNAcentral lists this ribosomal RNA (481 nucleotides) under uncultured bacterium. RNAcentral describes it as "partial 16S ribosomal RNA". It matches the Rfam family "Bacterial small subunit ribosomal RNA", at positions 28 to 507 of the family's 1533-position model. The record is from RNAcentral.
GAUGAACGCUGGCGGCGUGCCUAACACAUGCAAGUCGAGCGAAGCGCUUAAAUUAGAUUUCUUCGGAAUGACGAUUUUUGUGACUGAGCGGCGGACGGGUGAGUAACGCGUGGGUAACCUGCCUCAUACAGGGGGAUAACAGUUAGAAAUGACUGCUAAUACCGCAUAAGACCCCAGCUUCGCAUGAAGCGGUGGUAAAAACUCCGGUGGUAUGAGAUGGACCCGCGUCUGAUUAGCUAGUUGGUAAGGUAACGGCUUACCAAGGCGACGAUCAGUAGCCGACCUGAGAGGGUGACCGGCCACAUUGGGACUGAGACACGGCCCAGACUCCUACGGGAGGCAGCAGUGGGGAAUAUUGCACAAUGGGGGAAACCCUGAUGCAGCGACGCCGCGUGAAGGAUGAAGUAUUUCGGUAUGUAAACUUCUAUCAGCAGGGAAGAAAGUGACGGUACCUGACUGAGAAGCCCCGGCUAACUACGUG